UACUUGAAUGUUGUGACAAAGUAGGUGA
RNAcentral lists this small RNA (28 nucleotides) under Bombyx mori (domestic silkworm). RNAcentral's name for it is "ovarian small RNA-21643". The record is from RNAcentral. Lineage: Eukaryota; Metazoa; Arthropoda; Insecta; Lepidoptera; Bombycidae.